UCAUCCUUAAGCUUCUCUCUCUAAAACCUACGAAUUAUUGUAGCAUAUCAGUCCCUAAACAAAGCCCAACCAUCACAAACAACAAAUCAGAAGCAUCAAGAAGCCAGAAAUCAAAAAUCAAGCUUGAAAAGGUAGGAAAUCCUAAAUUCUAGAAAUCCUUCGAUUCGAUGUUAAUUGAUGCAAUUGAUUGUUUAAAGUAGUGUAAUAGAGAGUCUAUUAAUGUUCUGGGUUGUAAAAUCAUGAACCCAUAACAUCAAAGUGCACGAAUUUGAAGAUUUAAACAAGUUGGAAAAACCGAAUUCUGUUAUUUUUCACCAAAUGUCAGAGGCUAUAACUCUUUGGUCGAUCACGAGUUUUGUUGUUUAAAAGUUGUUAUAGGUAGCCUGAUAUGUGGUCUUUAAACUCCAAAAGGAAUCAGGUCUAUAUCUAUUGUAGAUCGGGAUUUAUAAGCGGUCAAAGUGGGUUGACCGGCAUUGACCGGCUGUUUUUCAAACCCAGAAAAUAUUCUAAGUGUCCAGAAAUUUUUUUUUGGCAAAUGUCAGGCCUUAUAUCUCGGUCAUCUUUAAUGUGUUUUGUGUUCUAAAGGUUGAUAUGUGUAGCUUGUUAUGUGGUAUUUAACCUCCAAAAAGAAUCAGGUCCAUAUAUAUUACGGAUUAAGAGUUAUUUAAGGUCAAAGUGGGUUGACCGGCAUUGACCAGAAAAUUCUGGGCAGCCCAGAAUUUUCUAAGUGUUAAUUUUUCUGACAAGGUUUGACCAUACUUUAGAUGCUUGAUUUCUUGUUGUUAUGAUGAUGUUAAGUGUUAGAGUUGUAGUCCUACAUGUUGUCUACACACUGGAAUUGAUAGAUCACAUAAACGUUACACGAUCAUCAAGUUAUAGAGGUCCAAAGUAGGCACCUCGAACUGUUCUUCGUGAAGAACAGCUUUGGUAGCUACUUUGAUGGCUGAUUUAUCCCAGAUCUGAUGUUUGUUUAGAGGUUAUGAUUGUUGGAUCUUGUAGUCUUGUAUUUCCUCUACAAGACCCAAUUUAUAGAUUGUCCAAAUUCGUUAAGAUGAGAGAGUUAUUCACGGUCAAAGUAGGCCACUCGGUUCUGCCUUAUGAAGAUCUGGGUAGGCUCAAGAACACCUAUAGCGACGGUUCUGUCACUAUAGGGGCCUUUAGCGACAGUUUUAAUUAUUUUAAUUUCUGAUUUUCCGGAAAUUAAUUUAAAAAUUAGAAAAAUUAGUUUUUAAUUAUUAAAAAUACCAAAUAAAUUAUGAAAAAUUAUUUUAAAGUCUGAAAAAUAGUUUUUAAUUAUUUUGAGUAUAUUUCAUAAAUAUUUAAUAUUUUUGGAAUAUAAAAGGUAUUUAUUUAUUUAAUUAUAAUAUUAAAUAAAUGAUUUAAAAAUAGUUUUAAUUCAUGAAAAAUCAUGAAAAAUUAUAUUAUGGUAUAAGAAAAUAUUUUAAGUUAUUUUCCAUGACUUUUAAUAUUUUGUGAUGAAUUUCAUUAAUUAAUUAAUAUUAAUGAUAUUAAAGUUAUUUAUUGAUUAUAUUAAAUAAUUAGUUUAAAAAUGAUUUUAAUAUUUUAAAAAUCAUUUUAAAUGAAAAUAAAGUAUUUAAAGAUAUUUUGAGUUAUAAAAUAUAACUUUUAAUAUUUAGAAGAUAAUUUCAUUAAUAAUUAUAUAUUAAUGAUAUUUAGUUAAUGAUUUGUGAUAUUAAGUUUAUUUAAUAUUUAUAUUAAAUAAAUAGUUUAAAAAUGGUUUUAUUUAUUUAAAAAUCAUUUAAAGAGGAUAUUAAGGAUUUAAAAAUAUUUUAAGUUAUAAUUAAUGACUUUUAAUAUUUGGAUAAAUAGUACAUUAAUAUUUAAAUAUUAAUGGUAAUUAUUUAAAAAUGAUUUUAAUUAUUUUAAAAAUCAUUUAAGGGUAAUAUAAAUGUUUUAAAAAUAGUUUGAGUUAUUAUAAAUAACUUUUAUAUUUUGGCAAUGGCUUCAUUAAUAGUUUAAUAUUAAUUAAAUAUUAAUGAUAAUAGAAUUGUUUGAUGUUUGGAAAAUUUGAAAAUGAUUAAAAUGUCUAAAAAUGCAUGAUAAAUUAUUAUAAAUGCUUUAAAAUUAUUUUAAGUCAUUUAAAAAUAAAAUGACUGAUGUUGAGAUACAGAAUAAGAGUCUUAGACUCAGUAAUUACCCGAUAAAGCUGUCGGUACGCCGAUAAAUGUCAGACCCUAUAAUAGAAAGAAAAGGCUACUAUAAGAACAUGGAUGAGAUAUUUGAAAAAUGUAUAAAAAUAUUUCAAGUAUAGAAUAUGAACUAAAAGUAUGAUCACUGCGAUUAUGUGAUGACGUGAUUAGACUAUGUGCUGACUGUAAUAGACAGUACUAUGUGUUAUGAUAUAUUGUUCUAAUCGAACGAAUGAUCUGAUUAUUGAUAGGUUGUGAUAAAGAGAUAAAACCUAAGUUGAGAUUUGUAAUCAACAAAUCAGGCAAGAAAUGGUAUCGUGGAGAACCGAGUUCGGGUUUCAAGUAUCCGGAUUUGGGGUCGCCACAGUUCAAAUAAUAGAGCAAGAAUCAAUUGCAUUACGUGCGAAUUACAACAAUAAUUAUAGAUGUUAAUAACUAUCAAUAAUUAUUCACUACCAUGCUUGAAAAAUAGUAACUCAAGUUGAGUUAGGAAACUUGCCUUUCGCGUUGAUUACUGCUACACAAU
Molecule: long non-coding RNA, 2676 nt
Filed under: Panax ginseng (ginseng)
Lineage: Eukaryota; Viridiplantae; Streptophyta; Magnoliopsida; Apiales; Araliaceae
Description: long non-coding RNA (PGIN_LNC003084)
Source: RNAcentral